Molecule: ribosomal RNA, 468 nt
Filed under: uncultured bacterium
Lineage: Bacteria
Description: partial 16S ribosomal RNA
Rfam family: Bacterial small subunit ribosomal RNA
Source: RNAcentral
GACGAACGCUGGCGGCGUGCUUAACACAUGCAAGUCGAACGGAAAGGCCCUGCUUUUGUGGGGUGCUCGAGUGGCGAACGGGUGAGUAACACGUGAGUAACCUGCCCUUGACUUUGGGAUAACUUCAGGAAACUGGGGCUAAUACCGGAUAGGAUCUCCUGCUGCAUGGUGGGGGUUGGAAAGUUUCGGCGGUUGGGGAUGGACUCGCGGCUUAUCAGCUUUUUUGUGGGGUAGUGGCUUACCAAGGCUUUGACGGGUAGCCGGCCUGAGAGGGUGACCGGCCAAAAUGGGACUGAGAUACGGACCAGACUACUACGGGAGGCAGCAGUGGGGAAUAGUGCACAAUGGGCGGAAGCCUGAUGCAGCAACGCCGCGUGCGGGAUGACGGCCUUCGGGUUGUAAACCGCUUUCGCCUGUGACGAAGCGUGAGUGACGGUAAUGGGUAAAGAAGCACCGGCUAACUACGUG